This is a long non-coding RNA of Drosophila ananassae, 566 nucleotides long. RefSeq lists it as uncharacterized. The record is from RefSeq and is a predicted model, not a curated record. Lineage: Eukaryota; Metazoa; Arthropoda; Insecta; Diptera; Drosophilidae. The transcript is spliced from 3 exons.
AUUUAAAAAUAGAAUACCCGUUGUUUUACAUUCAAAGUUCAAAACAAAAAAAUGGUAUCCAACUUUUUCCAAAAACUAACUCUCGGGCCCUAUCGAAAGGUAUUAAUGAAGUCCUCAUUCAAAACUGGUACCCUUCUUUUAAAACCCUGGCUCUUGAAGGUUUAAUCCACAAUGUUUAGUAGCCCAUUUUAUUGCCCUGGAGCCCACUGUGUCUUAAACCUGAUCGAUGCACGCACACAUACAAGCACACGAAGCCGAUCCUGCCCCACACACAUACACGUAAGGCAAACGAUGCUACCACCACUACCAACCACAACAAAAACAACAACAACAAGACGUAAGCCACAACAACCGCAGUAAAAGCAACAUCAGCGGCUUCAACUUCAACUCGCCUAGCCGCAUUCCACGAGCUCAGCUCUGGGCUGGGAGGCGUUGUUUGUUGCUUGUUUUUUGUUUUUGUGAUUGUUGUUGUUGUUUUGGCCGACAACAAUUUUUGCCUCAUGUUGCAUACCACACAUUCAUGUCGUGCCUAUGCAGGACUAGAUCACGUUUAAAUAUUCACCAAC